UGGGGAAUUUUGGACAAUGGGCGCAAGCCUGAUCCAGCAAUGCCGCGUGAGUGAAGAAGGCCUUCGGGUUGUAAAGCUCUUUCAGUCGAGAAGAAAAGGUUGUGACCAAUAAUCACAACUCAUGACGGUAUCGACAGAAGAAGCACCGGCUAACUACGUGCCAGCAGCCGCGGUAAUACGUAGGGUGCGAGCGUUAAUCGGAAUUACUGGGCGUAAAGGGUGCGCAGGCGGUUUUGUAAGUCAGAUGUGAAAUCCCCGGGCUUAACCUGGGAACUGCGUUUGAAACUACAAGACUAGAGUGUGGCAGAGGGGGGUGGAAUUCCAUGUGUAGCAGUGAAAUGCGUAGAGAUAUGGAAGAACAUCGAUGGCGAAGGCAGCCCCCUGGGUUAACACUGACGCUCAUGCACGAAAGCGUGGGGAGCAAACAGGAUUAGAUACCCACGUAGUCCCUGAGCGGGCUGGCAAGGCGCAU
RNAcentral lists this ribosomal RNA (472 nucleotides) under uncultured bacterium. RNAcentral describes it as "bacterial SSU rRNA". It matches the Rfam family "Bacterial small subunit ribosomal RNA", at positions 355 to 825 of the family's 1533-position model. The record is from RNAcentral.